CCCAGGGCAGGCAUUAAGCAUCCAUGUAUACUUGUUUCCCUUUGGCUCCUAAAUAAAAGUUGAAAGGAGCAAACAGCCUGUCCUUGUUAUCCCUUCCUUUCUCCGCAUCAAAAUUUCAACCAAACAACCGGGCAUUUGGAAACAAUAAUUUAUUAUUAUAAACUCCAAUUUCAACUCAAAAUAACUAAACAUAAUCUCAUUAGCAGUUUUUGGUCCUUCAUUGGACCUAGCUAGCAGCUAGCUACCUCCUCACUUCUUGUUUCUUGUUUAUUCAUCAUCCACUUUAUGUACUUUAGCUCUUCGUGGCAUUCUGCUAGGAAUUAGGAACUGAUUUUCCUCUUUUUUUUUUCAUAUAUACUUUGAUAAUUUAUUAUUGCUUCUUAUAUAUAUGGAAUCCUUGUCAGGAAAUGAAUGGCUGCAAACACCAUACCAGUUUUCUUCUGCUCAACAUUGUUGUCUAGUGGUAUAAACAGAAAACGCUGAAACGAAAAGCUUUGCUCACUGGGGGUGAGAAGGUUUUGGGGAACAGGGAGAUAGCUCUGAGUCUGAGGAAACUAAAUCUUAUACAUGGACUGGAACUCGAAGGAAAAUUAUUGGGAUUUAACUGAUUUCAAGCGAGAAGCUAUUCCAAUUAUAGAUGAAUUUCAUAGGACUAGCGGUGGGGAGUUUUCGAUUGAUCUGAAACUUGGUAGAGUCAGCAGUAAUUCAAAUGACAAAUCAAUAAAUCAGAGGAAGAAGCCUGGACCUGGAGUCUCAAAAACGAAAUCUUCACCUUCAGUAUCAACGAAGAGGGCACGAUCAAGAAAUAAUGGAACUCAGGCAGCGCUUUGCCUUGCUGAUGGAUGCAAUACAGACCUUACCAAUUGUAGAGACUACCAUAGGCGUCAUAAGGUUUGUGAGCUUCACUCCAAGUCUCCACAAGUUACUAUAGGAGGCCUAAAGCAACGGUUCUGCCAGCAAUGUAGCAGGUUCCAUUCCUUAGAGGAAUUUGACGAAGGGAAACGAAGCUGCAGGAAACGUCUUGACGGACACAACCGGCGACGAAGGAAGCCUCAGCCAGACCUCCUAUCGCGUCCUGGAAGCUUUUUGUCCAAUUUCAAUGGGACCCACAUGUUGCCAUUCCCUAGUCCACAUGUUUAUCCAACCACCACAGUGGUGAGUCCUACCUGGUCAGGAAUUGUUAAUGGUGAGGUAGAUGCUAGUACCCAUUUUGGUCUGCAACAACAAAUGCAUAUCCCUGGCAAGCAGAAUCUGUUCUUUGGAUCCUCCUCGAGCGGCAGCAACAAAUUAGGAUGGAAGCAAUUCCCAUUCUUUCAAGUUGACAAACCUCCUACAUCGUCUACUCCUUCUCCUCCUCAUGAAGCUUUCAUCUGCCAGCCUCUUCUGCGGAACAAAAUUCCAUUGUCAGACAGCAGCGUGGCUGGUAGCUACAGCAUAUUCUGUGACAGGCUUGCGACAAUAACACAAGUCCAAGACUCGAAUUGUGCUCUCUCUCUUCUGUCAUCCCAAUCACACAAUUAUUUAAGUCAUUCAUCAGGAAUUUCUAUGGCCUGCCCAUUGUUAGUUCCAGGUAGCAAUACCCAUUAUGGUGUGAAUCAAGUUUCUGAAAAGCUAACAGGUGAUAGUUCUCAGGCUUCCACAAGCGUGGUGCCAAACAAGUUCUCUUCAUCAGGAGCAAGUUCUGCAGAAGGAAGCCAAUUAGGCUCCAUACUGAUAUCUGAUGGUAGUGAUGCUAUUAAUUUUGAUCUCACUGAUGGGAUUUACCAGGGCUCAAAUUUUAUGAAUGCGGAGGAUCAUCUUUCCUGUGAAGAUGGCACCACCAUUGACCUGCUUCAGUUAUCAUCACAGCUUCAGCAAGUAGAACAUCAGAAGCAAUCCAUGCAAGCGAAGCAGGAAAAUGAUGCUUUCUGCUGGCCACAUAUCACUUAAGCGCUUUGCAAAAAAGGGAGCAGGUAGCUGAGUAUGUGGUAGCUUCAAUAUCAUUUACACUGGAUUUCUAAAGCAGCAUAAACUGGAAUGAUACAGAGCAAAGCAAGAGAAAGUUUAUGCAACCUUUCUCGCAUGUUGAUGCACAAACUGAUGAUCUUUCUGCAACAUAAAGAAUUUCAUUAGCAAUUCAACUUUCUGCAUUUGUGCCCUUUGAAUAGAGAGAAAAUCAUUUGAUUUUAUGUUGCUUUAUUCAUAUCCUAUUGCAUAUGAUUGUGCAAGUCUCAUAUUCAACUCAAUUAAUCUAGUCAGAUAGCCAUUACCGCUGUGGUUUAACAACUGUAGAUUAAUAGACUCAUCAGCUUUUCCCAAAUAAUUAAAUCUGCUGGAGCUUAGAAGCAGGAAAAGCUGACAGAUUUCAGUUAGAAAAUUCGUUCGCCUCUUACCACGAACUCAAUAAAAAGAAAACAUUGGAUAUGAUUAAGUCAAAUCACCAGUUGUUUUGCAGCA
Molecule: unclassified non-coding RNA, 2436 nt
Filed under: Hevea brasiliensis (rubber tree)
Lineage: Eukaryota; Viridiplantae; Streptophyta; Magnoliopsida; Malpighiales; Euphorbiaceae
Source: RNAcentral